AAAAUGACUCUCGGCAACGGAUAUCUCGGCUCUCGCAUCGAUGAAGAACGCAGCGAAAUGCGAUACUUGGUGUGAAUUGCAGGAUCCCGUGAACCAUCGAGUCUUUGAACGCAAGUUGCGCCCGAAGCCUUUUGGCCGAGGGCACGUCUGCCUGGGUGUCA
Molecule: ribosomal RNA, 161 nt
Filed under: Excoecaria agallocha
Lineage: Eukaryota; Viridiplantae; Streptophyta; Magnoliopsida; Malpighiales; Euphorbiaceae
Description: 5.8S ribosomal RNA
Rfam family: 5.8S ribosomal RNA
About the family: 5.8S ribosomal RNA (5.8S rRNA) is a component of the large subunit of the eukaryotic ribosome. It is transcribed by RNA polymerase I as part of the 45S precursor that also contains 18S and 28S rRNA.
Source: RNAcentral